UACGUAGGUGGCAAGCGUUAUCCGGAUUUACUGGGUGUAAAGGGCGUGUAGGCGGGGAAGCAAGUCAGAUGUGAAAUUCCAGGGCUCAACCCUGGAACUGCAUUUGAAACUGUUUUUCUUGAGUGAUGGAGAGGCAGGCGGAAUUCCGUGUGUAGCGGUGAAAUGCGUAGAUAUACGGAGGAACACCAGUGGCGAAGGCGGCCUGCUGGACAUUAACUGACGCUGAGGCGCGAAAGCGUG
This 240-nucleotide ribosomal RNA is filed under the name uncultured bacterium. Its description in RNAcentral is "partial 16S ribosomal RNA". It matches the Rfam family "Bacterial small subunit ribosomal RNA", at positions 524 to 763 of the family's 1533-position model. The record is from RNAcentral.